CAUGCAAGUCGAACGGUAGCACAGUAGAGCUUGCUCUCGGGUGACGAGUGGCGGCUUUNUNGNGUAAUGUCUGGGAAACUGCCCGAUGGAGGGGGAUUACUACUGGAAACGGUAGCUAAUACCGCAUAAUGUCGCAAGACCAAAGAGGGGGACCUUCGGGCCUCUUGCCAUCGGAUGUGCCCAGAUGGGAUUAGCUUGUAGGUGAGGUAACGGCUCACCUAGGCGACGAUCCCUAGCUGGUCUGAGAGGAUGACCAGCCACACUGGAACUGAGACACGGUCCAGACUCCUACGGGAGGCAGCAGUGGGGAAUAUUGCACAAUGGGCGCAAGCCUGAUGCAGCCAUGCCGCGUGUAUGAAGAAGGCCUUCGGGUUGUAAAGUACUUUCAGCGGGGAGGAAGGGAGUGAGGUUAAUAACCUCAUUCAUUGACGUUACCCGCAGAAGAAGCACCGGCUAACUCCGUGCCAGCAGCCGCGGUAAUACGGAGGGUGCAAGCGUUAAUCGGAAUUACUGGGCGUAAAGCGCACGCAGGCGGUCUGUCAAGUCGGAUGUGAAAUCCCCGGGCUCAACCUGGGAACUGCAUUCGAAACUGGCAGGCUGGAGUCUUGUAGAGGGGGGUAGAAUUCCAGGGGAAGCGGUGAAACGCGUAGAGAUCUGGAGGAAUACCGGUGGCGAAGGCGGCCCCCUGGACAAAGACUGACGCUCAGGUGCGAAAGCGUGGGGAGCAAACAGGAUUAGAUACCCUGGUAGCCCACGCUGUAAACGAUGUCGACUUGGAGGUUGUUCCCUUGAGGAGUGGCUUCCGGAGCUAACGCGUUAAGUCGACCGCCUGGGGAGUACGGCCGCAAGGUUAAACUCAAAUGAAUUGACGGGGGCCCGCACAAGCGGUGGAGCAAGUGGNUUAANUCGAUGCAACGCGAAGAACCUUACCUGGNCUUGACAUCCACAGAACNNGGCAGAGAUGCCUUGGNGCCUUCGGGAACUGUGAGACAGGCGCUGCAUGGCUGACGUCANCGCGNGUAGNGAAAUGUUGGGUUAAGUCCCGCAACGAGCGCAACCCUUAUCCUUUGNUNCCAGCGGUCCGGCGGCGGGAACCAAGGAGACUGCCAGGGUACAAACUGGAGGAGGUGGGGAUGACGCCAAGACAUCAUGGGCCCUUACGAGUAGGGCUACACACGUGCUACAAUGGUUUAUACAAAGAGAAGCGACCUCGCGAGAGCAAGCGGACCUCAUAAAGUAUGUCGUAGUCCGGAUUGGAGUCUGCAACUCGACUCCAUGAAGUCGGAAUCGCUAGUAAUCGUGGAUCAGAAUGCCACGGUGAAUACGUUCCCGGGCCUUGUACACACCGCCCGUCACACCAUGGGAGUGGGUUGCAAAAGAAGUAGGUAGCUUAACCUUCGGGAGGGCGCUUACCACUUUGUGAUUCAUGACUGGGGUGAAGUCGUAACAAGGUAACC
RNAcentral lists this ribosomal RNA (1457 nucleotides) under uncultured bacterium. RNAcentral's name for it is "16S ribosomal RNA". It matches the Rfam family "Bacterial small subunit ribosomal RNA". The record is from RNAcentral.